Non-coding RNA from Puma concolor (puma), 886 nucleotides. The record is from RefSeq and is a predicted model, not a curated record. Lineage: Eukaryota; Metazoa; Chordata; Mammalia; Carnivora; Felidae.
CCGGGUGCCGGGCAGCCGCUGAGAGAAGCAGAACGUGGUAGCUGGUAGUGGAAAAAGGAAAGCCGGCAUGUUCCGAAUCGAGGGCCUCGCGCCGAAGCUGGACCCCGAGGAGAUGAAACGGAAGAUGCGCGAGGAUGUGAUCUCCUCCAUACGGAACUUCCUCAUCUACGUGGCCCUGCUGCGAGUCACACCUUUUAUCCUAAAGAAACUGGAUAGCAUAUGAAGAUGAACAUCACAUGUGAAUGCAUGAUAAGAGGAACCCGGUUACAACUUCUACUCCUAUCUGCAAAUGAAUAGGCCCCGAAAGAUGUAAGAGACUCUGAAUGGACAUAAAAAUUCUACUCAUUAAGAACAAGUUUGGCCUCUGGUAACUGACCUUCAUAGCUAAAAUUUAAAACUGCUUGAGAAGUAAAGACAUUUUGUGGUGAUGGUACACCCAUAUGCUUGUGAUGUUCAGCCUCUGUGAAUGUUGAUAUAAUUAAUUGAGGAAAGAAAAUCGCUAAUUGAAAAUAUGUUCAUGAUACCAAGAGACUGAAGACUAAUUUUUAUGGGACAGUGCGGAAACAUCAUGGAGACUACUGCUGGAUGUCAUACAGCAAUGGGAGUUUAUAAGAUGCUUUUCUUCCCAAGGUUCAGAUUGCAUUGCCUCUGAUUAUUUGAACUGAUGACAGAGAAGCAAUAUAUAGAUAAUUUAAAAUAACAAAUAUUACAAAAAAGUUUUUAGAAAUGUGAUAGAAAAGAAUUAAAACAAGGAAAUAUAGGAAAUGGUCAAAUGAAUUGCUCAUCUUAAUAUCAUUAGUAAAAACUCAGCUUUUAUUUGAUUUUACUGUACUUUUGAGUAAAAUUUAAUAGGCUUACUAUUGAAUCUUUAUGUCAACUAAAAUUU